UUCAAUGGAGAGUUUGAUCCUGGCUCAGGACGAACGCUGGCGGCGUGCUUUACACAUGCAAGUCGAACGAUGAAGUUCCUUCGGGAAUGGAUUAGUGGCGAACGGGUGAGGAACACGUGAGAAAUCUGCCCUUCAUUUUGGGAUAACUCCGGGAAACCGGGGCUAAUACCAAAUACUCCAUCCCGGUGGCAUCACUGGGCUGGGAAAGAAUUUCGAUGAAGGUUGAUCUCGCGGCCUAUCAGCUAGUUGGUGAGGUAAUGGCUCACCAAGGCAACGACGGGUAGCCGGCCUGAGAGGGCGACCGGCCACACUGGGACUGAGACACGGCCCAGACUCCUACGGGAGGCAGCAGUGGGGAAUAUUGGGCAAUGGGCGCAAGCCUGACCCAGCGACGCCGCGUGAGGGAUGAAGGUCUUCGGAUUGUAAACCUCUUUCAGUGGGGAAGAAGCGAAAGU
RNAcentral lists this ribosomal RNA (455 nucleotides) under Actinomycetota bacterium. RNAcentral describes it as "bacterial SSU rRNA". It matches the Rfam family "Bacterial small subunit ribosomal RNA", at positions 1 to 457 of the family's 1533-position model. Lineage: Bacteria; Bacillati; Actinomycetota. The record is from RNAcentral.